GCUGUCGGCAGAGACGCAAAACAUUUCAGAUUAAGACUCCGACCAUAUGGAACAUAUUUCUUUAGUCCUGUUCGUAUCACAUAUAUGCAUUUUGCCUGCUGUUCGACAAUGGUUACUUCCACCAAGGAGGUUUUGUUUUUUGCAACUGGUCGGGAUUAUAAUAAAUAAUAAAAUAACACAGAACAGAUUUCCGAGAAACUUGGUGGAUGGGCCAAGAAAGAAUCCGAGACUUAAAUCCGGAAAAUGUGAUGGAUCCAGGAAUUUUUUAUGUCUUUCUUUAAUAUGACUUCACGUGAGAUGGUUUUCCAGAGCAUAAUUCAUGGAUCUUCAUGAAAAAACAAAGUUUUCAACUAUGACAUUGGGUGUGUGUGUGCUUAUGUAAAAAUAAAACAUAACCACCUGUCCUUUGUCCCCGUGGCCGCCAACGCGUCCCUGGAAGAUGAGAAGGGGGAGAAGAAAACUUACUGGUGAUGAUGUAAUCGCAGUAAGGAGCCAGAGUGUUCGAUACCUUGACACCAAAUUCUCCAGGCUCUCCCAUCAGCCCCGGGACUCCUAUGGGACCCUGAGAAGACAACCAUCGGUAUAUGUUAAAAAAUAUGUUAAAUAAUAUUCAGACGACUGGACAGCUUGUGGAGAUUCAUAAUAAUCUACUCACAUCUUCUCCGGGGUCACCGUCACUGCCUGGCAGGCCGCCGUGACCUUCGCUGCCCUGAGGAGAGAAAACAAAAAUGGGACGUGAGCAGAGAAGAAAGGUUGGACAAAAAAAGAGGACCAAAAACUUCUGAAUUCAUUAUAAAAAAUGUAAAAAAAUCUAAAAUGAGCACUUGAAGCUGUUUAUUUUCUGCCUAUUUGACAAAAGUUGAAUUACUUUAUUGAUUCUUGCACUGCUACAUGAAUGUAAUGUAUUUCUGUCCAGAUCACUCAGUCCACUGUGUGUGGACCAGUCAAUACAGUACAGGUUGUGCAAGAACAACAGGCUCUGCAGCUUUUCCUUUUUUUAUUUUUUUUGGCUUUAUUCAUCUGUGGCCAAACAGCCGCAGCUUUGUUGUAGUUGUUGUUUUCAAUGGAUAUACCAAAUGAGAAAAACUGUACCUGAAUUACACAUUUAGGAUAAAGACAUAAAA
This is a long non-coding RNA of Scophthalmus maximus (turbot), 1124 nucleotides long. RefSeq lists it as uncharacterized. Lineage: Eukaryota; Metazoa; Chordata; Actinopteri; Pleuronectiformes; Scophthalmidae. The record is from RefSeq and is a predicted model, not a curated record. The transcript is spliced from 2 exons.